RNAcentral lists this ribosomal RNA (471 nucleotides) under uncultured Acidobacteriota bacterium. Its description in RNAcentral is "bacterial SSU rRNA". It matches the Rfam family "Bacterial small subunit ribosomal RNA", at positions 224 to 704 of the family's 1533-position model. Lineage: Bacteria; Pseudomonadati; Acidobacteriota. The record is from RNAcentral.
GAGGAGCCUGCGGCGGAUUAGCUAGUUGGUAGGGUAACGGCUUACCAAGGCGACGAUCCGUAACCGGCCUGAGAGGGCGGUCGGUCACACUGACACUGACAUACGGGUCAGACUCCUACGGGAGGCAGCAGUGGGGAAUUUUUGGCAAUGGGGGCAACCCUGACCAAGCAACGCCGCGUGGGUGAUGAAGUCUCUUGGGACGUAAAACCCUUUCGACGGGGACGAAACCGCAAGGUUGACGGUACCCGUAGAAGAAGCCCCGGCUAACUCCGUGCCAGCAGCCGCGGUAAUACGGGGGGGGCAAGCGUUGUUCGGAAUUACUGGGCGUAAAGGGCGCGUAGGCGGUGCUCUAAGUCGGAUGUGAAAACUCUGGGCUCAACCCAGAGCCUGCAUCCGAAACUGGAGUGCUAGAGUUCUGGAGGGGGUAGCGGAAUUCCUGGUGUAGCGGUGAAAUGCGUAGAUAUCAGGAGG